RNAcentral lists this ribosomal RNA (700 nucleotides) under uncultured Acidobacteriota bacterium. RNAcentral describes it as "bacterial SSU rRNA". It matches the Rfam family "Bacterial small subunit ribosomal RNA", at positions 60 to 756 of the family's 1533-position model. Lineage: Bacteria; Pseudomonadati; Acidobacteriota. The record is from RNAcentral.
AGUCGCGUGCGCAGUUGCCGUAGCAAUACGGUGAUGGGCGCACGGCGCACGGGUGCGUAACACGUGGGCAAUCUGCCCUCUGAUGGGGAAUAACCCCGCGAAAGCGGGGCUAAUUCCGCAUAACAUUCCCAUGACUUAGGUUGAGGGAUUCAAAGCAGUGAUGCGUCAGAGGAGGAGCCCGCGCCCGAUUAGCUAGUUGGUGAGGUAACGGCUCACCAAGGCAAUGAUCGGUAGCUGGUCUGAGAGGAUGAUCAGCCACACUGGAACUGAGACACGGUCCAGACUCCUACGGGAGGCAGCAGUGGGGAAUCUUGCACAAUGGGCGAAAGCCUGAUGCAGCGACGCCGCGUGGGGGAUGAAGCAUUUCGGUGUGUAAACCCCUUUCGACUGGGAAGAAAGCCUCGCAAGAGGACUGACGGUACCAGUAUAAGAAGCCCCGGCUAACUACGUGCCAGCAGCCGCGGUAAGACGUAGGGGGCCAGCGUUGUUCGGAAUUACUGGGUGUAAAGGGUUCGUAGGCGGUGUGGCAAGUUGGGAGUGAAAUCUCUAGGCUCAACCUAGAGGCUGCUUCCAAAACUGCUGUGCUUGAGUGUGAGAGAGGCUCGUGGAAUUGCAGGUGUAGCGGUGAAAUGCGUAGAUAUCUGCAGGAACACCCGUGGCGAAAGCGGCGAGCUGGAUCACAACUGACGCUGAGGAACGA